This 252-nucleotide ribosomal RNA is filed under the name uncultured bacterium. RNAcentral's name for it is "partial 16S ribosomal RNA". It matches the Rfam family "Bacterial small subunit ribosomal RNA", at positions 524 to 776 of the family's 1533-position model. The record is from RNAcentral.
UACAGAGGGGGCAAGCGUUGUUCGGAAUUACUGGGCGUAAAGGGCGCGUAGGCGGCCCGCUAAGUCGAACGUGAAAUCCCUGAGCUCAACUCGGGAACUGCGUCCGAUACUGGUGGGCUUGAAUCCGGAGAGGGAUGCGGAAUUCCCGGUGUAGAGGUGAAAUUCGUAGAUAUCGGGAGGAACACCAGUGGCGAAGGCGGCGACCUGGGCCAAUAUUGACGCUGAGGUGCGAAAGCGUGGGGAGCAAACAGG